Regulatory RNA element from Clostridium sulfidigenes, 112 nucleotides. It matches the Rfam family "Ribosomal protein L20 leader". From Rfam's summary of the family: This family is a putative r-protein leader autoregulatory structure found in B. subtilis and other low-GC Gram-positive bacteria. It is located in the 5' untranslated regions of mRNAs encoding initiation factor 3 followed by ribosomal proteins L35 and L20 (infC-rpmI-rplT). NCBI's taxonomy places the organism in Bacteria, Bacillati, Bacillota, Clostridia, Eubacteriales, Clostridiaceae. The record is from Rfam.
AUUAACAAGUAGAAACUGCCGUUUCUCACCUUACAGUACUGCUAGUAAGGUAAAAUUUUGGUUUACAAUGAUUGUAAUAACAGGACGGCGUUUGCUGUCCUUUUUAUUUUAU